Molecule: ribosomal RNA, 537 nt
Filed under: uncultured bacterium
Lineage: Bacteria
Description: bacterial SSU rRNA
Rfam family: Bacterial small subunit ribosomal RNA
Source: RNAcentral
ACGGGUGAGUAACGCGUGGGAACGUGCCUUUCGGUUCGGAAUAACUCAGGGAAACUUGAGCUAAUACCGGAUACGCCCUUUGGGGGAAAGAUUUAUUGCCGAAAGAUCGGCCCGCGUCCGAUUAGCUAGUUGGUGUGGUAAUGGCGCACCAAGGCGACGAUCGGUAGCUGGUCUGAGAGGAUGAUCAGCCACACUGGGACUGAGACACGGCCCAGACUCCUACGGGAGGCAGCAGUGGGGAAUAUUGGACAAUGGGCGCAAGCCUGAUCCAGCCAUGCCGCGUGAGUGAUGAAGGCCCUAGGGUUGUAAAGCUCUUUCGCCAGGGACGAUAAUGACGGUACCUGGAUAAGAAGCCCCGGCUAACUUCGUGCCAGCAGCCGCGGUAAUACGAAGGGGGCUAGCGUUGUUCGGAAUCACUGGGCGUAAAGCGCACGUAGGCGGAUCUUUAAGUCAGGGGUGAAAUCCCGAGGCUCAACCUCGGAACUGCCUUUGAUACUGGAGGUCUCGAGUUCGGGAGAGGUGAGUGGAACUGCGAGU